This 294-nucleotide ribosomal RNA is filed under the name uncultured soil bacterium. Its description in RNAcentral is "partial 16S ribosomal RNA". It matches the Rfam family "Bacterial small subunit ribosomal RNA", at positions 26 to 321 of the family's 1533-position model. The record is from RNAcentral.
AGAUUGAACGCUGGCGGCAGGCCUUACACAUGCAAGUCGAGCGGUAGAGAGGUGCUUGCACCUCUUGAGAGCGGCGGACGGGUGAGUAAUGCCUAGGAAUCUGCCUAGUGGUGGGGGAUAACGUUCGGAAACGGACGCUAAUACCGCAUACGUCCUACGGGAGAAAGCCGGGGGACCUUCGGGCCUCGCGCCAUUAGAUGAGCCUAGGUCGGAUUAGCUAGUUGGUGAGGUAAUGGCUCACCAAGGCGACGAUCCGUAACUGGUCUGAGAGGAUGAUCGGUCACACUGGAACUG